UACGAAGGGGGCUAGCGUUGCUCGGAAUCACUGGGCGUAAAGCGCACGUAGGCGGAUUGCUAAGUCAGGGGUGAAAUCCUGGAGCUCAACUCCAGAACUGCCUUUGAUACUGGCGAUCUUGAGUCCGGGAGAGGUGAGUGGAACUGCGAGUGUAGAGGUGAAAUUCGUAGAUAUUCGCAAGAACACCAGUGGCGAAGGCGGCUCACUGGCCCGGUACUGACGCUGAGGUGCGAAAGCGUGGGGAACAAACAGG
RNAcentral lists this ribosomal RNA (253 nucleotides) under uncultured bacterium. Its description in RNAcentral is "partial 16S ribosomal RNA". It matches the Rfam family "Bacterial small subunit ribosomal RNA", at positions 524 to 776 of the family's 1533-position model. The record is from RNAcentral.